RNAcentral lists this long non-coding RNA (291 nucleotides) under Brassica napus (rape). Its description in RNAcentral is "long non-coding RNA (BNAP_LNC018271)". The record is from RNAcentral. Lineage: Eukaryota; Viridiplantae; Streptophyta; Magnoliopsida; Brassicales; Brassicaceae.
CCGAAACUUCGUUGGUUUCCCAAAGCUCUCGGAUCCUCCCCUCGAUUGGAGGAACCAUCGAUUCGGCCUGGGCGCACCCAUCCAUGAGGCCCGACAUCUCAACAACCUCGGAGAGAAAAGAGAAAUCAGUGUUCUGCGACUUCCAAAGGGUACCAACCGAACCGCGGCAUUCGCGGAAAUCACCCAUGAGUCUUGAACGUCCUUGAAGCUCCUGAACUCAGCAUCAAACAAUGUAGCUCUCCUCGCAAACUCAGCAGCAAUCGUCCUCCUCCCUUUCCUCUCCGCACGAAU